Molecule: long non-coding RNA, 1815 nt
Filed under: Ananas comosus (pineapple)
Lineage: Eukaryota; Viridiplantae; Streptophyta; Magnoliopsida; Poales; Bromeliaceae
Description: long non-coding RNA (ACOM_LNC038219)
Source: RNAcentral
UUUAAUAAACAUGACAAUGUUAUCAGUAAAAAAUAGUUCUAUAUUAGGGCUUGUUUGUUUGCACGAAAGUGGGGUGGAAGUGGGAAGGGAAAGUAAUUUUCCGUGAAAACUACCCACUUCCGUUAUUUGGUUCACCGUAAUUUUAUUACGCCCGAAAGUCCAGUUCACCCAAAAUAAUGAAAUUGACUUCGUCCUCCCAUAGGGCGAAGUCAAUUCCGGUGAAGUGAAAAAAAAGGCAAGAGUGGGAUUAAUGUGUUAGGAUUACCUCUUCUUUACCCUUUCAUUCAAAUAUAUUCAAUUGUGAAAGUAAUUAAAUUUUUUAUUUUGAUUGUAUGUCUAAACUAUUAUCAAAUUUGGUUCGGUAAGUUUUAAUAUAUUUUUUGUUUAAUAUAUAUAUUUAGAAAAUGAUGAAAAAUAAAUUUGUUAAAAGUUAAUAAUUUUUUAACUUUAGAAUUUUAUUUGUUACAUUAUUAUAAUUUAUAUGCAAAUAAAUAAUAUAAUUUUUUUAAGUUUUAUUUUAUAAUUAUACAUAUAUAUAAUUAUAUACAUAUAUAAUUAUAUUAAUUUUUAUUUAUUAUAAUUUAUUAUUCACUAUAAGUUACAAAAUAGACAAUAAUAUCACUUCAGAGAUAAGUAUACCGGGGGUGAAGAGCUACACUUUUUACGUCAUCUACUUUCUACCAAACAAACAAUAGAACUCGCAGAACUGCACUUCCACAGUUAGAAACAAACAGCAGAAGUGAACUAAUUUUUAUCCCAACUCCACUUCAACCUAAAAUCCACUUCCUCCUCAAAUCUACUUGCGUUGAAAUAAAAAUACCCUAAAUAUCCGUACUCAGUUGGGCUGUGUGGAAAGAUGCUCGUGGUCUGUAAUUUGCAGUUAGAAGAUGAACUUAAAUGCUCUUUAACUAUGGCUGUCAGGAAAGAUAAUUAAAUAAUAUAUCGUCAGAAUUGGAUACAUGGUUUUGUGGGUGCUUGCUUAAGUAAGUAAUGUCAUCUCAUAUUUAAUGCAUAAUAAAACACCUGCUGUUGAUUUGCAUAUAUAGCUCUACCCGGACUAGAACCCGGACAACGACAUUUAUUGAUUUGCAAGAGGAACGGUGGGAUUAGGGGUGGAAACGAGCCGAGCUCGAGCGAGCUUACCUCGGCUCAAAUUCGGCUUGAAAUUAAUUUCGAGCCUAAAUUUAAGCUCAAGCUUGGAUUGAAAUUAAUUCGAGCCNNNNNNNNNNNNNNNNNNNNNNNNNUAUAUAUAUAUAUAUAUAUAUAUAUAUAGUGUAGAACUAUUAUGCUAUCGAAAAUAUAGAGGAUUUGAUGUUUUUAAAUUUUUGACCCUUUGCUUAAAAAUUGUAUGGUUGGGAUGAUUGCGGUCUCCUCUAUGAUUAAAUAAUACUCUUAGGAUUCAGUGGUCUCUACAAAGUAAUAAUAAUAUUAAUCUAAAGAUAAGAAACGAUUAAAGAAAUUGAUCUAAGAAUCAAAAAAUCGAAAGCACCAGAUCUCUAUACUUUCAAUAGCAUAGUAGCUCUACUAUAUAUAUAUAUUCGAGCUUUUCGAGCUUUUCGAGCCUAAUUCGAACGAGCCGAGUAAUACUCAAGCUCGACUUGAAAUGAAUUUCGAGCCUUUUUUUUUGUUCAAGCUCGGCUCAUUUAAUUUCGAGUCGAGCUCGAGCGAGCCAAAUAUCGAGUCGAACGCGAGUCGAACGCGAGCCGGCUCGCUCAUUUGCCAGCCCUAGGUGGGAUGAUGAACACCAGGCGCACGGAUAUACAGUUUCACUCAAAAGUAGACAACUUUAUAACUCAAAAGAUUCUCUUCUUUGAU